CCUACGGGGGGCAGCAGGCGCGAAAACUUUACAAUGCCGGCAACGGCGAUAAGGGGACCUCGAGUGCCAGGUUACAAAUCUGGCUGUCGUGAUGCCUAAAAAGCAUUGCAUAGCAAGGGCCGGGCAAGACCGGUGCCAGCCGCCGCGGUAACACCGGCGGCUCGAGUGGUAACCGUUAUUAUUGGGUCUAAAGGGUCUGUAGCCGGCCGGAUAAGUCUCUUGAGAAAUCCAGCAGCUCAACUGUUGGGCUUUCAGGAGAUACUGUUCGGCUCGAGGCCGGGAGAGGUGAGAGGUACUUCAGGGGUAGGGGUGAAAUCUUGUAAUCCUUGAAGGACCACCAGUGGCGAAGGCGUCUCACCAGAACGGACCUGACGGCAAGGGACGAAAGCUAGGGGCACGAACCGGAUUAGAUACCCCCGUAGUCC
RNAcentral lists this ribosomal RNA (425 nucleotides) under uncultured Methanosaeta sp. RNAcentral describes it as "bacterial SSU rRNA". It matches the Rfam family "Archaeal small subunit ribosomal RNA", at positions 322 to 747 of the family's 1478-position model. Lineage: Archaea; Methanobacteriati; Methanobacteriota; Methanomicrobia; Methanotrichales; Methanotrichaceae. The record is from RNAcentral.